Lycium barbarum (goji berry) is the source of this 285-nucleotide long non-coding RNA. RefSeq lists it as uncharacterized. The record is from RefSeq and is a predicted model, not a curated record. The transcript has 3 exons. NCBI's taxonomy places the organism in Eukaryota, Viridiplantae, Streptophyta, Magnoliopsida, Solanales, Solanaceae.
AUUUUUACCCCCUUCUACACAAUUAAUUGGAGAGAUUUGAAGAUUAAGAGGAGGAAAAAGAUGGAGCUCAUGGUAGCCAUGGCUUUCUUGAAGACAUUUCAUGGUGAAAAAUUAGAGCUUGUCUCUAAGGCCUUGGGGAGCCCGAGGCGUAGGUUGGGAUUAAUUUUAGUUGGGCAAACUUGGAGCGCGUACGAGGUACAGACGCACAGUUUGGUGAUCUACCCAUUUAGGACACCCUCUUCUGCUGUUUGGAGUGCUUUUCUCAUUUCAGAGCACACAUUUUGG